UGUGGGCAAAGUAAACUGAAAACCUUC
Molecule: non-coding RNA, 27 nt
Filed under: Homo sapiens (human)
Lineage: Eukaryota; Metazoa; Chordata; Mammalia; Primates; Hominidae
Source: RNAcentral